RNAcentral lists this ribosomal RNA (489 nucleotides) under uncultured bacterium. Its description in RNAcentral is "bacterial SSU rRNA". It matches the Rfam family "Bacterial small subunit ribosomal RNA", at positions 950 to 1446 of the family's 1533-position model. The record is from RNAcentral.
UUCGAUGAUACGCGAGGAACCUUACCAGGGCUUAAAUGCAAGUUGAAUGAUGUGGAAACAUGUCAGUCUUCGGACAAUUUGCAAGGUGCUGCAUGGCUGUCGUCAGCUCGUGCCGUGAGGUGUUGGGUUAAGUCCCGCAACGAGCGCAACCCCCAUCUUUAGUUGCUAGCAGGUAAUGCUGAGGACUCUAAAGAAACUGCCUACGCAAGUAGUGAGGAAGGCGGGGACGACGUCAAGUCAUCACGGCCCUUACGUCCUGGGCCACACACGUGCUACAAUGGUUGGUACAGAGGGCAGCUACUGGGUGACCAGAUGCGAAUCUCUAAAGCCAAUCUCAGUUCGGAUUGGAGUCUGCAACUCGACUCUAUGAAGCUGGAAUCGCUAGUAAUCGCGCAUCAGCCAUGGCGCGGUGAAUACGUUCCCGGGCCUUGUACACACCGCCCGUCAAACAAUGGAAGCUGGGGGUGCCUGAAGUCGGUAACCGCAAGG